CGAGCGUGUAGCCGGUCGUCUAACUAACCUCGGCUACGCUCCUUAGGAAUGUCAUGUGGCAAGUUACGUUUCGGGCUAGCAAGCUGUCACACACUUUCAAAGACGAAACAAAUUCGGACAGUUCGUACGAGAUUUGCGCCUGUUGAAAUCUGCAUUUUGCCGCUGCGUUGCUGGCGUGUGUGGGUUGUCAGCAUCAAUUGGAGCCAUUCAACAUCUUAUGACAGCGUUAGUUCAUCAAAAUGGAACUCAGGUUCUAUCAACGCUGCCUAUGAAUGACUCCAAUGUUUCUAACACGACACUUACCUGGUUGGCAGCCAAUGAAACCGUUGCCUUGAUAGCCAUCCACACAGCUGCAGUCGGCCGCGUGAUUCGCGUUCAUGCAGACCGCAUUUUGCGCACAGGGAUUAUGCGCAUCGCAAGGAUGCUGACAGCGUCGGUUGAUGCAAGCCUCCGUAAUGUCACAAUCGGCAUCGCGCGUACACUCAGCUACACGAAAAGGUAGUGGAAAGAGUAAUGCAUUAUUAGAAACACGCACUCAAUCGUAUAACCAAAAAUAAAAAGCGCUUUCGUUCAGUUACUUAUGCGUAUAUAUUAAAUGAAUGUAAUGAUCGUUUGCUUACUUGUCCUAUCCACGGGCGAGCAUUUAAUAGCCGGAUUACCUUCAUGCCCCUUGGGGCACGAACAUAUCGGCCGAUGCAUUUUCGCCACACACUUAGCGGUGGGCGCACAUACAUUCGCAAAUUCGCAAGGAUUAUGACAUAGACCCAUGUAACAUGCUUCGUUCUCAAUGCAAUCAUUGUUCGACUGACAUGGUUCCGGAUUCUUUGGUGAGCCGGGUGAUUCUACUUGUUAGAGGAGUUAGAGAGUAUUAAUGCGUGUAUUGUUAUGCGUUUGGGCGCGUGUAAAGCUUCACGCCUUCAAAGAUGCUCCAAAAUGCGUCCAAAAAUCGUAAUUUGGUGUAAAUACAUAUACAUAUGUAUGUAUGUAUGUAUUUAGUACCAACUGUGUUCAAACUCAAAUUGAUGACCUCGAAAGCGUCCGCUCCCGCCUAAUGAGGCGCCAUUUAACCACUGCCUCUGCUUGAAGAGCGAAGAGCAUAAUACAAUAUGACAACAAUAUCCAAAAAUGGCCGUUGGUUCGCUAUUAAGUCCACGUAGAAGCGGAGGAUCCUGUUCAGAUAUAUAGUGGUCCCCGCUAAACGUCUUUUUUGAGAGGAGCUUCUGGAGGUCAG
Long non-coding RNA from Bactrocera tryoni, 1231 nucleotides. RefSeq lists it as uncharacterized. The record is from RefSeq and is a predicted model, not a curated record. NCBI's taxonomy places the organism in Eukaryota, Metazoa, Arthropoda, Insecta, Diptera, Tephritidae. The transcript is spliced from 7 exons.